GGCCAUAGCUCAGUGAUAGAGUGUCUGCUUUGCACGCAGAAGGCCACAGGCUCGAUCCCAGGCAGGGCUG
This is a non-coding RNA of Podarcis lilfordi (Lilford's wall lizard), 70 nucleotides long. Lineage: Eukaryota; Metazoa; Chordata; Lepidosauria; Squamata; Lacertidae. The record is from the annotation of a GenBank genome assembly.